UCACGUGAUCUUUUCCUUAACAUUUCAAUGAGACAAUAAAAAUUGUCAAAAAACCUAGGCGUGUUACGGGUUAAAAAUAAAUAUUCAGGGAUAUUCUUCAGAAAAGUCUCGAGAAAGUCAUCUGUCUAAUGACUUUUUAAGAUUUGAGUGGUCCCCAUUCUAGGAAAACUUUGGCUGCAUAAAGCUCUCUUUCGAAGCUUCUACAUUGAUGACACAACAGCUGUUAUGAUGAGAUGUCUAGAUUGAUGUGACUAUUAUCCAAUGUACUGAGUGUUUUUAAUCUUAAUUUUCUCUUAAGCCGUGUUUUAUUGAGGACAUCAAGAAUAGUUGGACCUACGGUGGAAUUUCUCCCUCUGGCAACUUCACUAUGACUAAUAACAAAAAUCUGUGGCAUUAGUAUUGUUCCCUAGGAAUCUCUCCAAUGUAAUGAGCUACAAUGAAGUGACUAUUUUUGUCCUGUGGAUAUUUGGAAGGCUGUUUCUGCAAGUGAAGAAUAUUGCCGUUUAUUGAUUAUUUUUGAUAAACUUGCUAUGCAUGCAACUUUUAUUUGAUUCCAACUAUUAGUUUUUACAUUGUAGAAUAGUUAUCAAGUGUCAGUGAUACUGCAGCGUCAAGAUAUAUGAAAUAAACAGGGUUUGUAAUUUUAACAUCUAUAGGGCGGCCAUUUUGAAUAUAAUUAUUAACCCGUAACGCGCAUCAACCAUUAAUUAUCCGAGUGUUUCCAAUCCCUGUAUACUGUAUCUAUGGUUGGGACAUAGUAUACAAAGCUAUACUUGUGUGCAGUGUAUGUACAUAUGAUCAUGUUAAUAGUAUGAAGUGACUACUGAGGUAAAUUAAAAGCAUUUUCCCUGCAUUUGUAUUGAGUCAGUAGUCAGUGCACCAAUUUUGAUAAAAUUUAAGUCUUAAAUACAAUUACAUAUAUGUACUUGUAAUUAAAGGUCUGGUUUUGUACUAUCAUUUGUUACUUUUUAAUUUUUUAUUCUAGAGUCUCCAUAUUUUAUAAUUACUCCACAUCACAUUGUAUCAGUAAGAUAUAAUAAUGCUAUUACAUUAAACUGUUCAUCCGGUGGAGUACCUUUGCCAAACAUCACUUGGUUCAAGGAUGGUAUAGUUAUACCUACUGAUCAGUACACCAAUAGUAAUGAAUCAGAUACACUCAUUACUAUGCUCACUGUUGUGGGAUCAUUAACUUCACAUGGAUAUUAUACUUGUCAAGCAGUCAAUAAUCUAGUUGAGAGGAGAGUCAUAAACACUACUGUGAAUGUAAUUGUUAAUGAGCCACUUAGUUAUGAUGAGAGUGAUCCUCUUUCAACCCAUAUAACUUUGAAGCAGUCAGAUACUUUUACUGUGCACUGUAGCUUCUCUGGACUUCCUUUGCCUGUCAUAUUCUGGUUUAGUCAUAACGGUUUUCUCAGUAACAACAGUAGAGUCUCCAUUACUACUGAUAUUCAAGAGAUUACUGUAACUUCAACCCUGACAAUAAAAAAUGUCAAUAAAUCAACUGAUGAAGGAUUUUAUUUUUAUAUUGGCUUUCAAUCUCACAAGAAUUAUUUUAAUCACACAUACCUAAAUAUUCAAUAACUUUAUAUAUUUAGUUAAAAGUUUAAGUUUAUCUUUUAGUUUGUAUAGUACCUGUGCUUGUUCACUAUUGUUACAGUGUUAUGUUAUUAUUCCUCA
This 1677-nucleotide long non-coding RNA is filed under the name Amphimedon queenslandica. Its description in RNAcentral is "uncharacterized LOC109586453". The record is from RNAcentral. Lineage: Eukaryota; Metazoa; Porifera; Demospongiae; Haplosclerida; Niphatidae.